AUGCUUACUUUAACUAGUUAUUUUGGUUUUCUACUGGCUGCUUUAACUAUAACCCCAGCUCUAUUUAUUGGCUUGAACAAGAUACGCCUUCCGGGUGGCCGGACCAGGGCCUUCUCGGCGACGCUGAUGCCGACGACGCUGACGAAGUAG
RNAcentral lists this ribosomal RNA (150 nucleotides) under Triticum aestivum (bread wheat). RNAcentral describes it as "partial small subunit ribosomal RNA". The record is from RNAcentral. Lineage: Eukaryota; Viridiplantae; Streptophyta; Magnoliopsida; Poales; Poaceae.